AUACAUGCAGUCGAGCGAGCUGAAUUCAAAGAUCCCUUCGGGGUGAUUUGUUGGACGCUAGCGGCGGAUGGGUGAGUAACACGUGGGCAAUCUGCCCUAAAGACUGGGAUACCACUUGGAAACAGGUGCUAAUACCGGAUAACAACAUGAAUCGCAUGAUUCAAGUUUGAAAGGCGGCGCAAGCUGUCACUUUAGGAUGAGCCCGCGGCGCAUUAGCUAGUUGGUGGGGUAAAGGCCUACCAAGGCAAUGAUGCGUAGCCGAGUUGAGAGACUGAUCGGCCACAUUGGGACUGAGACACGGCCCAAACUCCUACGGGAGGCAGCAGUAGGGAAUCUUCCACAAUGGACGCAAGUCUGAUGGAGCAACGCCGCGUGAGUGAAGAAGGUUUUCGGAUCGUAAAGCUCUGUUGUUGGUGAAGAAGGAUAGAGGCAGUAACUGGUCUUUAUUUGACGGUAAUCAACCAGAAAGUCACGGCUAACUACGUGCCAGCAGCCGCGGUAAUACGUAGGUGGCAAGCGUUGUCCGGAUUUAUUGGGCGUAAAGCGAGCGCAGGCGGAAUGAUAAGUCUGAUGUGAAAGCCCACGGCUCAACCGUGGAACUGCAUCGGAAACUGUCAUUCUUGAGUGCAGAAGAGGAGAGUGGAAUUCCAUGUGUAGCGGUGGAAUGCGUAGAUAUAUGGAAGAACACCAGUGGCGAAGGCGGCUCUCUGGUCUGCAACUGACGCUGAGGCUCGAAAGCAUGGGUAGCGAACAGGAUUAGAUACCCUGGUAGUCCAUGCCGUAAACGAUGAGCGCUAGGUGUUGGGGACUUUCCGGUCCUCAGUGCCGCAGCAAACGCAUUAAGCGCUCCGCCUGGGGAGUACGACCGCAAGGUUGAAACUCAAAGGAAUUGACGGGGGCCCGCACAAGCGGUGGAGCAUGUGGUUUAAUUCGAAGCAACGCGAAGAACCUUACCAGGUCUUGACAUCCUGUGCUACACCUAGAGAUAGGUGGUUCCCUUCGGGGACGCAGAGACAGGUGGUGCAUGGCUGUCGUCAGCUCGUGUCGUGAGAUGUUGGGUUAUUCCCGCACGAGCGCACCCUUGUCUUUAUUGCCAUCAUUAA
Molecule: ribosomal RNA, 1103 nt
Filed under: Lactobacillus delbrueckii
Lineage: Bacteria; Bacillati; Bacillota; Bacilli; Lactobacillales; Lactobacillaceae
Description: bacterial SSU rRNA
Rfam family: Bacterial small subunit ribosomal RNA
Source: RNAcentral